Molecule: long non-coding RNA, 3515 nt
Organism: Myxocyprinus asiaticus (Chinese sucker)
Lineage: Eukaryota; Metazoa; Chordata; Actinopteri; Cypriniformes; Catostomidae
Exons: 4
Source: RefSeq, a predicted model, not a curated record
UUACUGUAUAUGUACUCAACACUUGGUAGGGGCUCCUUUUGCUUUAAUUACUGCCUCAAUUCGGCGUGGCAUGGAGGUGAUCAGUUUGUGGCACUGCUGAGGUGGUAUGGAAGCCCAGGUUUCUUUGAAAGUGGCCUUCAGCUCAUCUGCAUUUUUUGGUCUCUUGUUUCUCAUUUUCCUCUUGACAAUACCCCAUAGAUUCUCUAUGGGGUUCAGGUCUGAUGCGUUUGCUGGCCAGUCAAGCACACCAACACCAAGGUCAUUUAACCAACUUUUGGUGCUUUUGGCAGUGUGGGCAGGUGCCAAAUCCUGCUGGAAAAUGAAAUCAGCAUCUUUAAAAAGCUGGUCAGCAGAAAGAGGCAUGAAGUGCUCCAAAAUUUCUUGGUAAACGGGUGCAGUGACUUUGGUUUUCAAAAAACACAAUGGACCAACACCAGCAGAUGACAUUGCACCCCAAAUCAUCACAGACUGUGGAAACUUAACACUGGACUUCAAGCAACUUGGGCUAUGAGCUUCUCCACCCUUCCUCCAGACUCUAGGACCUUGGUUUCCAAAUGAAAUACAAAACUUGCUCUCAUCUGAAAAGAGGACUUUGGACCACUGGGCAACAGUCCGGUUCUUCUUCUCCUUAGCCCAGGUAAGACGCCUCUGAUGUUGUCUGUGGUUCAGGAAGUACGUAUGGUCUUACUGGGUAACUUACAUAGCCAAUUCUUACUCUCUCUGGCAUUCAUUCUUCAUCAAACUGAAGCAUAACUGAUAGACUAUCCAUCCUUUCUUUAUUUUUAACAUAUUGAAGCCGUUUUGCUCCAAUUAUCUUCCCCCCUUCAGUGCAGCUUUUAAUUUUGUCAGCAGGUACAUCUGUAGGAAUUCCAGUUAUUACACCUCUUACCCAAGGCUUCCUAUUCAUCAAUGUGCAUGAUACCAAGAAUCCAAGCAUCGAAUUUAUACUCAGUGCCUUCUUUUGUUGUUUUUCGUCUUUACACAUGAUGAUCAAAUUUCCAUCUCUCAGAGUCUUAGCACUAUUUAUUUCUCCUUAUGCUUUUUUCAGAGCUUUGGCCAGUUUAAUUGGGUUAAUCAUCAUGCCCGGUUCUGCGAAUUUCAACAUUACUUUAAAUUCUUCUGUAUUUUUCCUACUCACAUGAUCCUCCUUUCCACUAUCCAUAUAUGAUCCUUGAAUACUAGUUUUCUUUCUUUUCCGAUUAACUAUUUUCCACCAUUCAUUCCCUCCAGCACUCCCGCUACACGAUUCAUCCUCCAUUUCUGGAUCGCUGCCAGAGCUACCUUCAUUUCCUGCCAUCGGUGCUCCAGUCACAGUCCAGUGCUGCCAACCAACCACCUUCCGCUGCUCCUCGCCGUAGUCUGUCUCACGCUGUCAGUCGGUCUGGGCGUGCAGCAUCAAACUUUGGCUGGGCCAGAUGAUUUAUUGAAGUUACUAAUACUGCAAGUGAAAAUCCGGAGAAAAAGAAUACUGAAAAUGAUGUGGGCUAUUAUCUGAUUGGUCCUCCUGCUCUCGUUACUGCUGCAGUUGUAGAUUGUUCCAUUGGCUGUGACGGUUCUCAGGUGAAAAGUGGAUGGAUGCUUUUAGGUCAGAAGCAUCAAAAGGGAGGUCAUGAAGAAACCUGCCUGAAAAUUAUCAGUGAUGGCCAGUUCUGCAGCCAAACAGAUGCUCAAUGUAUCUGUAAAACCAUCUGGAACUGAUAUUGAGUUGACAAUAGGCCCUGGAUUGAAUGAGCUGGAUGAAUUCUAGAAAAACCCUGAAAUGACACAAGAACGGUAGGGAAGGGGAGCCUUUUUUUGUUUUAACACAUUUUCAAUUUUCUCUUGUUUUUGGAUAGCAAGAGAGUCAGUAUACUCAUUGUAUUUUCUUUUAUAACAAAAUUAGGUAGUACUUUAGAUUGGAUAGAGUAGGCAGGAAGAUAGAGGGUGUUAUGUUAAUUAUUUUGGCAUAUACCCCUUCCUGAAGAGAUUAUUUUCUUUAAAAUGAUGUUUGUUGUCUAAUCAAGCCAUGAGAACGAAAGGGGAUGAUGAGGGUCUGAAGCAGAUCAUUAUCCAUGUUACGAGGUAAUGUAACCAGAAUUAAAAGGAAAUGAUAAGAGGGUUUAUUUUGAUUAUAUAUGAACUUCUUAAAUGUUUUAAAAGUAUUAUUUAUUGUUCGAAUCAUCUCUGAAGGUACUAUUAACCAAGUAAAUUACUGUAGAGUGAAAAAUAGUAUGCAUUAAUGAACUCUGAAAACACACUGGAAGUGCCACUGGAGGGCCAGAGAAUUGAACAUCGUAAAGAGAGGAUCGACGAGCACCUCAGUGCUUAGCAGCAAGAGCAAGACUCUACUGGAGGUUUAAAAACCCACUGUCUGCUCCAACACCACCAGAUAGCGCUCCAGGCUACCAGAAAUGUCUGUGAGUUCCUCUGGCACCAUGGGACAUAUCAUAUGCUGAAGUAGUCUACUGAUAUUGUCUAAUCACUGUAGUAUGUUAACCUACUGAAAUAAGUCUAAUCACUGGUGUAUUCUACAUAACGCAAGGCCAACUUUGCAUGCACAUGCUUUAUACAAGAAUUUGAUUGCUGUUACCUUCCAGAAAGAACUGAGCUAGAGAGAUGAGAUCUUUUACUUCCUUCUAGUCAAAUGUGGAGGGAGAUGUUUGGUUUUAUUUCUACUCCAGAGUGCAGUUCCAUAAGAGCAGUCAUUGUUAGAGGAAUGAGUGACUUAUAUUAGUCACUUGAUAGGAAUGAAGGAGACUGACUUGUGAGGUUGCACUCUGGGAAAGGGCGAUAGAGGUGAGACUUUUAAUAAGUCUCAAAGGAGGGAAUAUAUAGUACAUUUUUAUAAAUUUUAGUGUAUUUUUAUAUAUCAAACAAAGAAAAAGUACUUAGUUAAUCAUUCAGUUAAUAAUUGAAUGAGUAUGUAUGCAAUUUGCAGUGAUCUAAAAAUGACAAUGUGUAAUCAUUGUACAAUGAAUAACUGUAUUAUCAAUGUUAUUCAAUAUGUUACAUAUUUAAUUAUUAUUUUAUUGAUUUAAUACUCUGAUUUACUCUAAUGCAGUUUGAAACUAUGGAAAACAGCUUAGCUUGCAGUCUCUUUCUGUGUAAGGCCUUUCUGGAUCAAGGGAAAAUUAGUUGAUGUGAUACAGACAGUGAGAGACCUUGGGAAACAGGUGAAGGGAUGCAGGUGUCAAGCAAAUGAGUAGGGAGUUUUCUAUUAAACUUUGUAUGACCCAAAGGGAGGUGCACAUGGGUAAAUUAAAAGGAAAAUUUAAUGAGCAGAGCUGGUGCUGAUAACGCCAAGGCACUGAGAUGAAACAGCAAGUUGGGUCGGGAUGACCAGCUGGAAGGGAGAUGGUGAUGACGAAACUAGGGGGCAUAAGAUGAUUUUAUUGGAUGAAGAGGCCAUCACUAGAGAGAGGGUGGAACAGAAGCUGUAUAAAGGAUGCAUGAUUCUGAAGUGUAAUUUCAGAUGCUAGGUGAUCAACUGGCAUCUUGGCUUUGUUGCUUUGUUCAAUAAAGUCUAAUCUUUGAUA